CUUCCUCUUGUUCCCCUUUUGAUUUACUGGACUCUUCCUUUUGUUUGAUUCUUUUUUUUUCUCUUUUUUGUCUGAACCACCUCUAUCCGAAUUUUCAACAAUUAUUGGCGGUGGUGUUUGAGUUAAAGUGUUGAAAGAUGGGGCAUGAACUUCAUCUGUAGAAGUUCCUUCGACUAAUCUUGGGCUCUUUCGAGGAGUUACAACCAUGAUUUUGUUGGAAACCGAAUUGAAAGAAGGCAUUUUCAUAGUUGGUUGGUGAGAACGAUUUGAGAGAGAUGGAAUUUGGGAGAGAUGGAAUUGAGAAACAAUGGUGAUAGUGGGAUUGUAGGUGGUGGCGUGUGUGAGUGAAUAAUCAUGGGUUAGGGAGGUGGGAUUGACGAAUAUUGGAGGG
Molecule: long non-coding RNA, 391 nt
Filed under: Solanum tuberosum (potato)
Lineage: Eukaryota; Viridiplantae; Streptophyta; Magnoliopsida; Solanales; Solanaceae
Description: long non-coding RNA (STUB_LNC011153)
Source: RNAcentral